CCUACGGGUGGCAGCAGUGGGGGAUAUUGCACAAUGGGGGAAACCCUGAUGCAGCGACGCCGCGUGGGUGAAGAAGCGCCUCGGCGCGUAAAGCCCUGUCAGCAGGGAAGAAAAUGAUGGUACCUGAAGAAGAAGCCCCGGCUAACUACGUGCCAGCAGCCGCGGUAAUACGUAGGGGGCAAGCGUUAUCCGGAUUUACUGGGUGUAAAGGGGGCGCAGACGGCGAUGCAAGCCAGGAGUGAAAGCCCGGGGCCCAACCCCUGGACUGCUCUUGGAACUGCGUGGCUAGAGUGCAGGAGGGGCAGGCGGAAGUCCUGGUGUAGCGGUGAAAUGCGUAGAUAUCAGGAGGAACACCGGUGGCGAAGGCGGCCUGCUGGACUGCAACUGACGUUGAGGCCCGAAAGCGUGGGGAGCAAACAGGAUUAGAUACCCCAGUAGUC
RNAcentral lists this ribosomal RNA (440 nucleotides) under uncultured bacterium. RNAcentral's name for it is "partial 16S ribosomal RNA". It matches the Rfam family "Bacterial small subunit ribosomal RNA", at positions 338 to 795 of the family's 1533-position model. The record is from RNAcentral.